CACGUAGGAACCUGACACGCAGUGGGGGAUAACGCGGGGAAACCGGCGCUAAUACCGCAUGAUGCCCCAGGAGGAGACUCCUGUGAAGAAAGGCGCAAGUCGCUGUGUGAGGGGCCUGCGGCCGAUUAGUUAGUUGGUGCGGUAACGGCGCACCAAGGCGAUGAUCGGUAGCUGGUCUGAGAGGAUGGUCAGCCACACUGGGACUGAGACACGGCCCAG
This 219-nucleotide ribosomal RNA is filed under the name uncultured bacterium. Its description in RNAcentral is "partial 16S ribosomal RNA". It matches the Rfam family "Bacterial small subunit ribosomal RNA", at positions 114 to 334 of the family's 1533-position model. The record is from RNAcentral.